Molecule: ribosomal RNA, 1371 nt
Filed under: Weissella koreensis
Lineage: Bacteria; Bacillati; Bacillota; Bacilli; Lactobacillales; Lactobacillaceae
Description: bacterial SSU rRNA
Rfam family: Bacterial small subunit ribosomal RNA
Source: RNAcentral
CAUUGCAAUGAGUGGCGAACGGGUGAGUAACACGUGGGAAACCUACCUCUUAGCAGGGGAUAACAUUUGGAAACAAAUGCUAAUACCGUAUAAUAAUUAAAACCGCAUGGUUUUAGUUUAAAAGAUGGUCUUGCUAUCACUAAGAGAUGGUCCCGCGGUGUAUUAGUUAGUUGGUGAGGUAAUGGCUCACCAAGACAAUGAUACAUAGCCGAGUUGAGAGACUGACCGGCCACAAUGGGACUGAGACACGGCCCAUACUCCUACGGGAGGCAGCAGUAGGGAAUCUUCCACAAUGGACGAAAGUCUGAUGGAGCAACGCCGCGUGUGUGAUGAAGGGUUUCGGCUCGUAAAACACUGUUGUAAGAGAAGAAUGACAUUGAGAGUAACUGUUCAAUGUGUGACGGUAUCUUACCAGAAAGGAACGGCUAAAUACGUGCCAGCAGCCGCGGUAAUACGUAUGUUCCAAGCGUUAUCCGGAUUUAUUGGGCGUAAAGCGAGCGCAGACGGUUAUUUAAGUCUGAAGUGAAAGCCCUCGGCUCAACCGAGGAAUUGCUUUGGAAACUGGAUAACUUGAGUGCAGUAGAGGAAAGUGGAACUCCAUGUGUAGCGGUGAAAUGCGUAGAUAUAUGGAAGAACACCAGUGGCGAAGGCGGCUUUCUGGACUGUAACUGACGUUGAGGCUCGAAAGUGUGGGUAGCAAACAGGAUUAGAUACCCUGGUAGUCCACACUGUAAACGAUGAGUGCUAGUUGUUCGAGGGUUUCCGCCCUUGAGUGACGAAGCUAACGCAUUAAGCACUCCGCCUGGGGAGUACGACCGCAAGGUUGAAACUCAAAGGAAUUGACGGGGACCCGCACAAGCGGUGGAGCAUGUGGUUUAAUUCGAAGCAACGCGAAGAACCUUACCAGGUCUUGACAUCCUUUGACCACUCCAGAGAUGGAGCUUUCCCUUCGGGGACAAAGUGACAGGUGGUGCAUGGUUGUCGUCAGCUCGUGUCGUGAGAUGUUGGGUUAAGUCCCGCAACGAGCGCAACCCUUUAUUGUUAGUUGCCAGCAUUUAGUUGGGCACUCUAGCAAGACUGCCGGUGACAAACCGGAGGAAGGCGGGGAUGACGUCAAAUCAUCAUGCCCCUUAUGACCUGGGCUACACACGUGCUACAAUGGCAAGUACAACGAGUCGCCAACCCGCGAGGGUGCGCAAAUCUCUUAAAGCUUGUCUCAGUUCGGACUGUAGGCUGCAACUCGCCUACACGAAGUCGGAAUCGCUAGUAAUCGCGGAUCAGCACGCCGCGGUGAAUACGUUCCCGGGUCUUGUACACACCGCCCGUCACACCAUGAGAGUUUGUAACACCCAAAGUCGGUGAGGUAACCUU